This 4135-nucleotide long non-coding RNA is filed under the name Bemisia tabaci. RNAcentral's name for it is "lncRNA ENSSSA1NGG004437". The record is from RNAcentral. Lineage: Eukaryota; Metazoa; Arthropoda; Insecta; Hemiptera; Aleyrodidae.
AUGGUGUGGUGGCCUGUAUGCAAGUGCCGCUCUAGGGUCUACGAAGGGCUACCGUUGGAGCAUGUGAAUCAGCGAUGGCGUCUUAACGAUCUUUGGACUUGUCGCAUACAAUUCCCGAUCAUCAGACGCGUAGGGAACGCCAAACUCAAAUUCAAGGUCAGACCCAAUGGAGGCGAAGGAGAUGGAUAUCAUGGGAGUGCAUAUCAAGGAAGUGAAUAUGGUGGGAGCACAUAUCAAGGAGGCGAAUAUCAUGGAGGUUAUCAAGGAAGCGGAUAUUCAGGGGGUAAGGUCGAAAUAAGCGGAUAUCCAGUAAGCGGGUAUCCAACAAACGGACAUCCAGUAGGCGGAGGGGGAUAUCAAGUAUCUGGAGGAGGUGAAGGCGGAAAUCAAGUAAGCGGAGGAGGCGGCGGUGAUAAAUUAAGUGGAGGUGUUGAGGGUGGUGGUAAAUUAGAUGGAGGAAGUGGAAGCAAAAGUAAAUUAGAUGGAAGAUUUGGAAGUGGUAGAUUGAAUGGAGAAGGUGGUAGCAAAAGUAGAUUGGAUGGAAAAGUUGGAGGCAGUGGUAGAUUGAGUGAAGGAGGCGGAAGCAAAAGUAAAUUGGGUAGAGGAGGUGGAAGCAGAAGUAAAUUAGGUGGAGAAGGUGGAAGCGUUGGUAAAAUUAUUAAGGUAGAUGGAGGUAGUGGUAGAGUAGCUGGAAGUGGUGGUGGAUUAGUAGGAGAUAGUGGUAGAGUAGGUGGAGGUAGUGGUAGAGUAGAUGGAGGUGGAGGUAGAUUAGUUGGAGGUAGUGGUAGAUUAGCUGAAAAUAGUGGUAGACUAGGUGGAGGUAAUGGUAGAGUAGGUGGAGGAAGUGGUAGAUUGAGUCGUAUCUUCUCAAACUCGAGAAUAGGCAGACUUGGGAGCAAAGCUGCGGGUCUUGUGUUAAAGGCAGGAAAGAGAGACAAGAAGAAGAAAGGAGGGGUUGGGAAGAGGAGGAGGAGGCACAAACUGGGCGGGAAAGAAGAUGAAGAGAGUGAAAAAGAAGAGGAGAAGGGUAACGAAGAAGGGCUUCUCCUUCUUGCGCUAGAAGAGGAAGCUCUUCUGGCUUUGUCGAGGAGCACUUCUUCAUCUUCCUCCGGGUCCGAACUACCCCCUGACCCGUUUGCCAGGCAGGAGUCCUGCAGGUCCGAAGUGCCUCCUGACGUGCCUGCCAGGCAGGAGUCCUCAGGGUCCGAGUGGGUCCCUCCCCGCAGGAGUCGGCCGCUUCUUAUGAGCCAGGAAGCGAUUGGGGCUACGGUGGCGGCGGUGGAUCCACAUAUGACGCUAGUAAUAAUGGUGGUAAUGAUAAUGGUGGUAAUGAUAAUGGUGGUAAUGAUUAUGGUGGUAAUGAUUAUGGUGGUAAUGAUUAUGGUGGUGAUGAUUAUGGAGGUUAUGGGGAUUAUUAGGGACUAGGUGUCAGCAUAGAGAAAAUACAGAAGGUGGUGGCAAGCGGAGAAAUGUACUUUUCUACGUCACAGCUAAAAAUGAAGCCGCCCUUCUGAUUGGUCAAUACGAUCGCGGGAAAACCGAGACAUCUUUGAAAUAUUUAAAGGAGCGGAAAAGGUUGUGAGGUUUCCACUUAUUUUUGCUCUAAAAUCUCGUAACUAUGACUUUUUAUGUUUCAAUAUGUUUCUCUAUCAAUGUUCGACUGUAACUGAAAAUAAUUUGUAAGUUAAAAAUAUAUAUCCAUUUCAUAUAAUAACAACUCAGAUCUAGACUCGUCCCGUUUCGAAGGUAUAACCAUGUUAAAUUACGUGCUGUGCGUCAAAAAAGCCGAAAUUGGAGAGUCAUGGUGACUAAUGUUCAAUUAUAUGACUUUCAAUGUUAGUUUGAGUGGUGAUGUAGGUCUUUAUACAGGUUCCAUCAUGAAAUGUACUUUUUUUUGAACAGCGCGCCAGUCAGCGUACUAUUCUACGUCACUGCAAAUCUUCAAGAUGGCUGCCUUGCCACCACCUUCUGUAUUUUCUCUAUGAGGUGUCAGAGGGGAGGGAUCCGCUUUUAAAUGAACGCGUAAAACGGACUGUACAAGAUGCUAAAAUGACUAGACUUAUUAAAAACUAUUAAAACUCACUUGAACAUGAAAUGAGUAAAAUCGGACCGGUUUCGAAUGCUUUUCUUCAUCCUCAGCAAACAAACGCUCUGCCGUGCUGAGGAGGAAUGCCGUAUGAGCGUUCAAGCGUUGCCAUAUUUCAUUCAAUAAGAAACAAAGUUACUGAAAACAUUCUGAAUAUUUUCCCUCUAGUUUUGCAGAGAAUUUGUUUUGCAGUUUGAUACAAAAUAACUGGAAAUUUCAAGUAAAAAUAUGCAUAACAUUCUUUAAGUAAAAAUACAUGUUUUCUUCGCAGAAAUUUGGCAACUUUCAAAUGUUCUUACGGCGUUUUUCCGGCGUUAGAAAAAGCUCUCUUUCCCCUUGUAAUAACUAAUUAUUUUCUUUUUUCAAUGAGUCACUUAACAAAGCCGAAACUAGGAAAAAAUGGCGCGUGUUUUCUCUUCAACAUCUAACGUUUUGAGUCUCAGGAAGACGAACUGUUGCAUCUGCAAAAUUGAACGCCCGAUGUCGCGAGGCGUAAACUUGCAAUGCUCCGCUGUAUGUUGCCAAUGAACUGUCGCACAGUGGAUCGAGUCAAUGGGAGAGGUCGGAUAAAAUUUGGAAACUUCAAAAGCUUAUAACUCCGUUCACACAAUACUUUGAGGUUUUGAAAGUGGCUCCAUUGGUUUCCCCGUGAAAUUUUAUUUUAAUAGCUCCCCUUGUAAAUUAAAAUAUGACGAGUUAAACAUCAAAAUUUGCAGUUUUAGUUAAAAAUUUCAUGUCCUACCUCUGAUUCACUCGAUCCACUGCGUUUGUCGCUCGGAUUCGGGAGAAAAUUUGAAAAAACGAGGCCGAAUUACGUUUUUCCUAUCCUUAACUGUGUCGCUCACGUAGCCCUUAAAGCCGACUACAACUAAACAAACUGAAGAGCAAGGGAAAAGACGCGUGUUGAUGACGGCGCAGAGAUACAACUAUUCAUGCUUGAUGAAUGUCCGUGUUGCGUCUGCGAAAUUGAAGGCGCGAUGGUACAAGGCGUGAACUCACAAUGCUUUGCUCCAUGCUGCCAAUGAGGCGUCGCUCAGAUUUGGGAGUAAAGUCAAAAAACAGGGCCCGAUCACGUAGCUUCUCUCUUCGGCUGUGCUGAUAAUCAAUUUUUUUCAAAUUGGAUGUGUUUUUUAGGGCGUAAUAGUAGACUUUUAGCUGAAUCUCGUGGGUAACGUCCCCAUGCAACCUUCGGGCCAGGGAUUUUUAGCAAGUCGCGGGUCAAUUUGAUCCGACUCGGACAUCUAAGGGUUAAUUAAUAUGAAUAGGAUCAUUAUGCCACGCAAUUUUGGAGUGGAGUCCGGGAGAAGGGUACACAAAAUAUAAAUCCCAAAAAAACGUGACAACUACACCACUGCAUGAAAACUUUAAUUUCGCAUAGUCUGUCACAUAAAACAUUCCAACAUUCCAGAAAUCAGGCCUUUCAGGGCAUUUUAAAGUUACGGAACGAGAAAUUUCUGCACGAAAAAAACGCUAAUCAACAAAGUAUGAUAUAAAACUAAUCCUGAAAAUAUGAAAGAUUCGACCUGAAAAUGAAGAGUUUUUGCUCCUUUUUUCAAAAUUUUACCUGGUUUUCUGGGUCUAUCAUACAAUGUUGGUGUAUUCAUGUUGUGUUGUUAAUUUAAACGCUUAUUAUUCAUCUCGAUAAAAUUAAUUUAAAUUAAUGAGUUUAUUAACAAUUAGUUUUUUUGUAGUUUUUAAAGUUUAUAUUAAUAUAUAUUUAUGGAUUCGAAUCCCUCAACUUCGUACCCCAACUCGUGGCUCAUUAUUUCCCGCCGCUAAGUGGACAAUAUCAACCAAAAUUGGACGUAUUUCUGCCAAACGAACUGUGCGCAUUAAGACCUGAACCCUGAGACCCAUAAGAAUAUACGCAUAACAGGGCUCAUGUCAAAAUUCAAACAGUUCCAUUUGGCAGAAAUACUUCCUAUUAGCCUACCUUUGGAUUUAGCCUAAAUUAUUCUGAAACUUAAAUUUUUUUUGCAGCAUUCUGCUCCGAACUUUUUGAAAUGUCUUUUUUAAAAUCCAGGAUUAAUUUAUGAACGAUCUUAGAGC